CCUUGAUAACCCCAAGCAUCUUCGUUCACAGUGAAUUGAGGAUGUUGAUGAGUUUGAUAUCCGUGCCCAUAAGGCACACCACAUGUCGGGACACUUUGCAUUGUGGUCCUUUCGGCAAUCUGUGACAAUUGAGAAGUAAGAUUCGCCAAUUGAGCUUGAAUGCUAGCAAAAUCCAUCUCUUACUUUUCUAGUAUCUGAAAUCAAACAAAGAGAACUAAAUCAAAUAUCAAAAGUAACACAA
RNAcentral lists this long non-coding RNA (241 nucleotides) under Malus domestica (apple). RNAcentral describes it as "long non-coding RNA (MDOM_LNC013371)". Lineage: Eukaryota; Viridiplantae; Streptophyta; Magnoliopsida; Rosales; Rosaceae. The record is from RNAcentral.